UAUCUCUGUAGAGUCUGCAUAUCAAUAAGCGGAGGAAAAGAAACUAACUAGGAUUCCCUCAGUAACGGCGAGUGAAGCGGGGAGAGCUCAAAUUUGAAAUCUUCAAGGUUCUACCUUGACGAAUUGUAGUUUAAAGAAGUGUUUUCUGUUGGAGUUUUGGUAAAAGUUCUUUGGAAUAGGACAUCAUAGAGGGUGAGAAUCCCGUAUUUGACCAUUGUUUCCAGCUUUGUGAUACACUUUCAAAGAGUCGGAUUGUUUGGGAAUGCAGUCCAAAAUGGGUGGUAAAUUUCAUCUAAAGCUAAAUAUUGGCGAGAGACCGAUAGCGAACAAGUACCGUGAGGGAAAGAUGAAAAGAACUUUGAAAAGAGAGUUAAACAGUACGUGAAAUUGUCAAAAGGGAAGCGUUUGACACCAGUGCUGUUUUCUCGAAAAUCAAUUAAAAAAGGCAGGAUUUUGUGUUGUAUUGACUUUAUCAGCUUUCUGCACUCUUUUCUUGUCUUUUUUAAUGCACUUUUCGUUUAACAAGUCAGCAUCAAUUUCUUUAGUUGUAAAAGGGUCAUUGGAAGGUGGCUUUCUUUUCGGAGAAAGUGUUUAUAGCCUUUGGCCUCUGCAAUCGGAGAGAUUGAGGUCUGCAGCGUAGAUCCUUCGGGGUUAGAUACAUUUGUGCUAAGUUAUAGCCUUUCAUAGACAACUUGUUGACUAUGAUCAGUCAUGUAGCUUACUCGCUUAUGCUAUUUUACCUACGCUUAGGAUGUUGACGAUCAGCUGAGCGCG
Molecule: ribosomal RNA, 774 nt
Filed under: uncultured Neocallimastigales
Lineage: Eukaryota; Fungi; Neocallimastigomycota; Neocallimastigomycetes; Neocallimastigales
Description: partial large subunit ribosomal RNA
Rfam family: Eukaryotic large subunit ribosomal RNA
Source: RNAcentral